Pelobates cultripes (western spadefoot toad) is the source of this 214-nucleotide non-coding RNA. The record is from the annotation of a GenBank genome assembly. Lineage: Eukaryota; Metazoa; Chordata; Amphibia; Anura; Pelobatidae.
GCAUGCUUCAACAGGAGAGCCUUCUGCACAGAGCCACAGGCUUACCAAUGUAAUUACCAUGUCAUUGCCGACUGAUUACCAAUCGCUGCUCAAAAAAGGAUUUUACAAAGAAGGACCUGGCAUCUUCUAGCAGUAUUUCACAUUUCCUGGGAAGGCAGGAUGGCUCAGAACUGGGAAUAAAAUAAAGAAUACUCACCGCCAACCGAAACUCAAG